RNAcentral lists this ribosomal RNA (253 nucleotides) under uncultured bacterium. RNAcentral's name for it is "partial 16S ribosomal RNA". It matches the Rfam family "Bacterial small subunit ribosomal RNA", at positions 524 to 776 of the family's 1533-position model. The record is from RNAcentral.
UACGGAGGGUGCAAGCGUUAUCCGGAUUUACUGGGUUUAAAGGGUGCGUAGGUGGGUAAGUAAGUCAGUGGUGAAAUCUUCGAGCUUAACUCGGAAACUGCCAUUGAUACUAUUUAUCUUGAAUACUUUGGAGGUAAGCGGAAUAUGUCAUGUAGCGGUGAAAUGCUUAGAUAUGACAUAGAACACCAAUUGCGAAGGCAGCUUACUAGACAGUUAUUGACACUGAGGCACGAAAGCGUGGGGAUCGAACAGG